RNA transcript from Pseudophryne corroboree (corroboree frog), 1787 nucleotides. It is a transcript of the gene named receptor accessory protein 1, with no coding region annotated. The transcript is spliced from 10 exons. Lineage: Eukaryota; Metazoa; Chordata; Amphibia; Anura; Myobatrachidae. The record is from RefSeq and is a predicted model, not a curated record.
AGCAGGUUGGAGGGGGCAUAAAGCAUGCUGUACAUUUCCCCACCCCUAUCCUUCACUCCUCCUUCCAGAAUAUGAUCAGUGAGGGAGCAGGGCAGCUGCUGAACCACAGAUUGCUAUUCCCUGUGCCUCUUCCACCCUGCUAAGCCUGGUCUGUGCCCCUGCCAGCCAGGCUUGGUCUGUGGGCUCCCAGGCAGCAGCAGCAGCAGCACAUCCCUGCCCUGUGCCCAAUCUCCAACACCCUGCGCCCAGCACAGCUCCCGAUGGCUGAGGGAUCCCCUGCUUCUUCUGCUAGACACACCAGACAGUAACUACCCCCCAGCUGAUCUCCUGCAGUCCCCACCAUGGUGUCAUGGAUCAUAUCCCGGCUUGUGGUGCUGAUAUUUGGCACUCUCUAUCCUGCGUAUUAUUCCUACAAAGCUGUGAAGUCCAAAGAUAUUAAGGAAUAUGUAAAAUGGAUGAUGUACUGGAUCAUAUUUGCACUAUUCAUGACACUAGAAACAUUUACAGACCUAUUCCUGUGUUGGCUGCCAUUUUACUACGAGCUGAAAAUAGCCUUCGUGGCCUGGCUGCUGUCUCCUUACACGAAAGGAUCAAGUCUACUGUAUCGGAAAUUUGUACACCCCACAUUGUCCUCUAAAGAAAAGGAAAUUGACGAGUGUCUCAUCCAGGCAAAGGAUCGCAGCUAUGACGCCCUGGUCCACUUUGGGAAGAGAGGGCUCAAUGUGGCUGCCAGUGCCGCGGUAACGGCUGCUGCCAAAGGACAGGGGGCGCUGUCAGAGAGACUGCGGAGUUUCAGCAUGCAGGAUUUGUCCAGCAUUCGGGGUGACAGUCCCUCAGCAUCUCCGCUUAUCGCCCGGGCGUCAGGCAAAGCCACCAAGUCUAAACUAUCACGGAGCGCAACGCAAGGCAGCGAGACCUCAGUGUGUACAUGCUGCGGUGCUGGAAAAAUCCUACAAGAUGUUGAGGUGAAUCAGUGUCAGAUGACCAGGACUACAACCUAUGAGAUACAGGAAUUGGAGUCCGAUGAAGACGGGGGGAUAAUUAUACUGGGCAAGCCCUCCAUGCAGAAACCGCCCCGGAAGGAACGACCGGUUGAGAAACAGGAGUGGCCGAGCCGAAGGUCACUCAGCCUCCGAUUAAAACAUCUGCAGCGAAAAGACCAGAAGACUCCAGAAGCAGAAUGAGCUUAAAAAAGCCGCAGUAAGACUCCAUUAACCAUGACACUGCUGGUUAAUCCUCCUCCCAGAGUCCAUAAGCCUCGAUUGAGGAAGAAAAGUACCUCUGCCUCUAACGCGGAAACGGCGUGAGUGCGGCCAACACCUGAGCACCACAGAAUGUCUCUUCACUGCCUUAAAAGAGCAAUUCAUACCACUUGACAAAAGGUGGCGCCAGAGCUCACACAAACCAGGCGUGACUUUUCCCAGAAUCCCCUACUUCCCCGGUCAUAUCACUUACGUUGGAUUCAAUUGUUCAUCGAUAAGUACAUAGCUGCUGUUAAAUCCACCACAAAAUAAUAUGUCACUAGGAUUAUCAUUUGACUUUGGGCCUUGCUUGGAACACUGAAAACCUGCAAUCCUCCCGAUGUGCUAUAUACAUCCCAAUAGAAGCUGAUGCUGUCCUGAUUAGUCAUAGUGACCAUUAAGUCCAGUAAUAUGGAGUGAUGACCAUCUUAAGUAUUGGUUUACUAAAGAAGUGAAAUAGCCAUUCGUGUUUAAAAUUGAUCUACUUUGUAACUGCUACGUAUGUAUGUUUGUUGUAUGACUUUGUAUAAAUUAUGAUUGUCUUUC